This is a long non-coding RNA of Drosophila miranda, 601 nucleotides long. RefSeq lists it as uncharacterized. The transcript is spliced from 2 exons. Lineage: Eukaryota; Metazoa; Arthropoda; Insecta; Diptera; Drosophilidae. The record is from RefSeq and is a predicted model, not a curated record.
UAUGGAGGCCCAACAGGUCUAACAGGAGUGUGGAUGCCAAAUUUGGUCGCUCUAGCUCUAAUAGUCUCUGAGAUAUAGAGAGAGGCAGAGCGAAAGAGAAUGAAAUUUUGUUCUUCAUUUUGGCUGGUUCAGAUUCUGCAGUCAUGUUUAGACUGUCAUGUCAUGUCAGUUUAUCAGUCACAUUGAUUUUCAACACCUUGUCUAGCUCACACAACAUGCAUAGUCUUAUAAUUUCAUAGUAUUUUCAAAAAUGUUCCAAUAUUUAUUCCAGUACUUACGCUGUAUGGACGCCUUAUGUGGUUAUUGUCUCGUCUGUUUUUAGAACAUUCGAUAUGUACAAUUUCGAUCCGAUUGAAGUGAAGAUGAUAGCCUUAGCGACCUGUGCCAUCACCCCGCCAGCAGCAGUAUCCAACGACAAGCUCAUCAGCAGCAACUCUGUAUUUAUUUGCAGUUCGUUAGUUCUUUUCCUUGAUUUAGCACUGCUACCACAAGCAGCAACGACCGCUGAGUAUACCUCUCCAGGCUAGUGCAGGCCUCCUGCUGCGGCAUAUGGCAAGGGAAGGUAGUACCACGAACAACAAUCAGUCAGCGCAGGCUCCUG